This 253-nucleotide ribosomal RNA is filed under the name uncultured bacterium. RNAcentral's name for it is "partial 16S ribosomal RNA". It matches the Rfam family "Bacterial small subunit ribosomal RNA", at positions 524 to 776 of the family's 1533-position model. The record is from RNAcentral.
GACGUAGGGGGCCAGCGUUGUUCGGAAUUACUGGGUGUAAAGGGUUCGUAGGCGGUGUGGCAAGUCGGGAGUGAAAUUUCUGGGCUCAACUCAGAGACUGCUUCCGAAACUGCUGUGCUUGAGGACUGGAGAGGAGACUGGAAUUUACGGUGUAGCGGUGAAAUGCGUAGAUAUCUGGAGGAACACCGGUGGCGAAGGCGGCAUCCUGGACCGACACUGACGCUGAGGAGCGAAAGCCAGGGGAGCAAACGGG